Molecule: ribosomal RNA, 1384 nt
Filed under: Brenneria salicis
Lineage: Bacteria; Pseudomonadati; Pseudomonadota; Gammaproteobacteria; Enterobacterales; Pectobacteriaceae
Description: bacterial SSU rRNA
Rfam family: Bacterial small subunit ribosomal RNA
Source: RNAcentral
GUCGAGCGGUAACACAGAGGAGCUUGCUCCUUGGGUGACGAGCGGCGGACGGGUGAGUAAAGUCUGGGGAUCUGCCUGAUGGAGGGGGAUAACUACUGGAAACGGUAGCUAAUACCGCAUGACGUCUUCGGACCAAAGUGGGGGACCUUCGGGCCUCACGCCAUGAGAUGAACCCAGAUGGGAUUAGCUGGUAGGUGAGGUAACGGCUCACCUAGGCGACGAUCCCUAGCUGGUCUGAGAGGAUGACCAGCCACACUGGAACUGAGACACGGUCCAGACUCCUACGGGAGGCAGCAGUGGGGAAUAUUGCACAAUGGGGGAAACCCUGAUGCAGCCAUGCCGCGUGUGUGAAGAAGGCCUUCGGGUUGUAAAGCACUUUCAGCGGGGAGGAAGGCAAUAAACCUUAAUAAGUUUGUUGAUUGACGUUUACCCGCAGAAGAAGCACCCGGCUAACUCCGUGCCAGCAGCGCGGUAAUACGGAGGGUGCAAGCGUUAAUCGGAAUGACUGGGCGUAAAGCGCACGCAGGCGGUCUGUUAAGUUGGAUGUGAAAUCCCCGGGCUCAACCCGGGAACAGCAUUCAAAACUGACAGGCUAGAGUCUCGUAGAGGGGGGUAGAAUUCCAGGUGUAGCGGUGAAAUGCGUAGAGAUCUGGAGGAAUACCGGUGGCGAAGGCGGCCCCCUGGACGAAGACUGACGCUCAGGUGCGAAAGCGUGGGGAGCAAACAGGAUUAGAUACCCUGGUAGUCCACGCCGUAAACGAUGUCGACUUGGAGGCUGUGGUCUUGAACCGUGGCUUCCGGAGCUAACGCGUUAAGUCGACCGCCUGGGGAGUACGGCCGCAAGGUUAAAACUCAAAUGAAUUGACGGGGGCCCGCACAAGCGGUGGAGCAUGUGGUUUAAUUCGAUGCAACGCGAAGAACCUUACCUACUCUUGACAUCCAGAGAAGACUGUAGAGAUACGGUUGUGCCUUCGGGAGCUCUGAGACAGGUGCUGCAUGGCUGUCGUCAGCUCGUGUUGUGAAAUGUUGGGUUAAGUCCCGCAACGAGCGCAACCCUUAUCCUUUGUUGCCAGCGAUACGGUCGGGAACUCAAAGGAGACUGCCGGUGAUAAACCGGAGGAAGGUGGGGAUGACGUCAAGUCAUCAUGGCCCUUACGAGUAGGGCUACACACGUGCUACAAUGGCGCAUACAAAGAGAAGCGAGCCUGCGAGGGUGAGCGGACCUCAUAAAGUGCGUCGUAGUCCGGAUUGGAGUCUGCAACUCGACUCCAUGAAGUCGGAAUCGCUAGUAAUCGUAGAUCAGAAUGCUACGGUGAAUACGUUCCCGGGCCUUGUACACACCGCCCGUCACACCAUGGGAGUGGGUUGCAAAAGAAGUAGGUAG